AAGGUAUGUCAAAGGUCAUGGUUAAGUGACUUUGUAAGGCUGGUAUUUUUUCUUUAGUUUUAUGGCAAUCAGUGCACAUGGUAAAUAGCAUAAAAUUACCCUUAAAGGUCUUAUGCAAGGAGAUAGCUAAUUAAAAUGAACAAAUGUAGUUCUAUGUAUGAUGUAUAUAGAGACAAUAAUAUUUCUUUUCUUUUUUCAUUUUCAGGAACUUUACGUAGGUCUACAGUUUUAAUUUUGGACUCAUGCACUAGGAAUAUCAUAUCAGCAGAAUUGUGCCACUGAAUCAAAGGGAACUCUUUUUUUUUAGGUACGCAUGAUCGAUGUAACUUCCUCGAUGGUGUGUUGGCUGUUUGCCCAUGUGUAUUUCGGGGUAUAGGAGUAGCCUCCCCUUUUAAAGAUCAAAAAUGGUGAUUUUACAGUGCGGCAUGCAGUCUGGUCUUCAACGAAGAGUUUUGACACCUGUAAUACCCAUAUUUCUACCAUUCACCUCUGUAACCUUUGUUGAGUUCAUCAGACUGUCACUAGGCAACACUAAAGAUUUCCACUUAUUGCUUUUCUGUCCAAGACAGGAAGUUGAGGAACAAAGUUGACAGGACAUCCUGAACUGUCUUCGCUACCAGCUUAUGAGGGAACCAGCUGCAGUGGACAAAGUAUGUUACAUCAUAGGAUAAUAGCAUUGAAUUGGAUUCUUGAACCAGAGCCAUGUGAACCUGGUCCACCUGUACCUCUCAUUGAAGACCUGUUAACAUCACCAGAGUAUGUUCAUUCUGAUACCCCUAUGGUAUGGUUACAGCAUGCAUUAUCCCUGAAUCCAUUAAAAGAGCUGCAUUGGCAAUGAAACAACCCAUUGUGGUCGAUUGUAA
Saccostrea cuccullata (small rock oyster) is the source of this 863-nucleotide long non-coding RNA. RefSeq lists it as uncharacterized. The transcript has 4 exons. Lineage: Eukaryota; Metazoa; Mollusca; Bivalvia; Ostreida; Ostreidae. The record is from RefSeq and is a predicted model, not a curated record.